Molecule: small RNA, 26 nt
Filed under: Bombyx mori (domestic silkworm)
Lineage: Eukaryota; Metazoa; Arthropoda; Insecta; Lepidoptera; Bombycidae
Description: ovarian small RNA-9027
Source: RNAcentral
UGUCGCUUGCUCUACUUAAGCAUGAC